UGUCAUGUGAUCAUUCUGCCAUUUUAAAAUAUCUGGGAAAACAUGGGGACCAUUUUUGAGCUCAAGUGAAAAAAUCAACUCUCAGUGAAAUGUUGGCCAUUCACAUCUCAGUUGUUUCCCCACUACAAUAUAUGACCAUGAUGCGUUAAUACAUACAUACUUUGUUCCGUUUGUCAUGUUUAACUGACAAAUAUGCAUGGUGGGGUGCACACUAAUUGGUUAGCCUGCUAACAGGAGCUCAUGCAAAGUCAAUGAGACAUACUGGCUAAAUUGGCUAGCUAGCCACAUAGAUUGUUAGCUAGCUAUAUCCAUUUACAUUUUGUUUUCUGUUUUAGAUGUGUGUAUCACUGUUUUCUGUCCAGGUAGGACACAUUUUGUAAAGAGUUGUUGCGUGUUCUAAUUUCAAGUGCUAGUUUUCAACUUAUCAAAUGUGGCCAACAGCUGCGAUUUAUAUUUAUUUAAACUGAAAGUGGAUUACUCUGGUCAAGUCACAAUACAGUACGUUCUAAACUAAUCUAGUGACAAACACAUUUUGCAUUGCACCAUUCGUCCACAUGGCUGCUGGUUGAGUUGUUCUACCACCAGAAAAAUAAAAUCGAAUCAAAUGUAGUUUUUGUAAGGACUCAAAAAACAGAGGCAGUGGGAGAACCUAUUCAAAUUGCAGCCAAGGAAGAGAGUGAAAUUGCAGCUCCAGCUGUCAGUAAAGGAUACCGGAUAGUGCAGUCCUCAGAUACGAAAUGCUGUGAAACCCUGUGUUUGCAGAUGAAGAGAGAGGUCCCAAUGAAUGUCCAAAGAGACCAAUGACGCAUUUCCAUACAGGAUUUACCCCACUGUUUCACACAGAAUGCUCAGACUUUUCUGUUUCCAUCUAUGCGGGCUGGCAUGCGUAUCUCACUGGGCCAUAUCUCCGCUGGACCUACUCUCACUAGGGGCCAAAGCCAGGCCACAAGGACUUUUCAGCUAUCAUUUACAUAACAAUGGCUAACUGUGAACUUUAACACCUUCUCUCAAUUGCAACUUAGUAUACCAGCGGUAUUUGAUCAAUUGAAUCAGGUGUGUUAUUGCUGGGCUGAAAAAGAAACAAUUGUAAUAGGUUUAUACAUUGUGUGUGAUGUAUGUUUAACAGUUUUUUGUAUACAACAUUUGCUAACAUAGGUAGGCCUACCUAUAUGCCAUGGGUUGUAUGUGUAGGCCUACAUAUGUUAGCACAUGUAUACAAAAAAACUGUUUAACAUCACACACAAUGUAUGAACCUAUUAUGAUUGGAGCAGGCCAACUCUGCUGGAGGUCUGCUGAGUGUUCUGGGAUCUGUUUCAGCCCAGCAAUAAUACACCUGAUUCAACUUUAGCUUCAGUAAUAAUUGCCUACUUUUUACCACCCAAUUAUCUAUGGUUGUUUAGACUGAGAUGCUUAAUCUUUACAUACUAGUUCUUAUUUGUACAUUUUGUAGUGAUGAUUAUUUGAAGUGAAGUGUUUAAACUGAAAGUGCCAAUGUCGAUUAAUCACAUAUCUCAAUCCUGCAAUAAAGAAGGGAAGGGUUUUGUCUCUAAU
Oncorhynchus mykiss (rainbow trout) is the source of this 1551-nucleotide long non-coding RNA. RefSeq lists it as uncharacterized. The record is from RefSeq and is a predicted model, not a curated record. Lineage: Eukaryota; Metazoa; Chordata; Actinopteri; Salmoniformes; Salmonidae.